UGGUCAAAAGUGUUUUGACCAAGGACCAAAAUGUUCUUUCCUUCUCACUCAGUAGACCCACAUCCACCGUCCCACAAAUCUUUCUCUCACAUUUCUCAAAAGUCAAAUCUCUUCAAAUAUUUAUCCCUAUUUCACAUUCCAAAGCUGUCACCCAAAUAUAUCAAACAUUAAUUUCAACGUUUUGCUUUGAUCUCAGCUAGAUUGGGUGGAAAAUAUUGUUUUUUAAUUAUGAAGAUACCAAUUCCAUCAGUCCCAUGAACAAGCAAGGGAUAUUGUACAUAAGAUUAAGCAAGCAAUCUUGGCACGUAAGCAUGCUCAAUUGUUGUUCCUGGUUUUUCUUCCUUGCUAAUGUGUAGUACCUCACUAUGUUUUCCUCUUUCCUGUAUAAAAUAGUUGCUUUUACUUUUCCUUCUUUUAAUUAAUGUUUGUCUCUUUUGCAAUUAUGUUUGAUUCCUUUUGGCUUUGAUGCAUCUGUUGGUCUAUUGUUUGCAGAAAAAAUGGUAGAGCAAAUGAUACAAAGCACGUUGCACGAUAAUGAUACUUGUGUGGCCAAAGAUUGCAAAACUAAAAAACAUCCCAAAAGUAAAAUUGUGUUGCACCAAAAUAUAGCAAAGUAAUAAUGUAAAAACUUUAUAACUGAGUUUUGAUUUCUUUCCUUUUUUUCUCUUUAAAGCAUGCUCUUAUACAUUUUAAGAUGACAUAUCAUAAAGUUGAUAUUCCCCGAAUACGUCCUUGGAAGGAGCUCAUUGUCAGUGGAGCCCCAACAACUUGGUUGGUGAUAUUUUAUAUUAGCAUAUAGUACUUUGUUGUUACAAACAUAAUGUAGUGAUUGACUCUAUAAAUGCUUAAUUAGCAUGUAAACCUAGACUUAAAUUAAUUAACUUAACCAUCAUGUUAACAACUUUAUUUUGCCCUUUUAGAGGAAUUCCUUAAUCAGAUGGCGCCAUGGCUAUAGUCAUACCCAUCUUUCUGUUAUUUAUGUGUCCAUAGCCACCGUCGCCGCCGCUGCUUGAUUCACUCAAUGCAGGUUCAAGGGCAACUCCAUGCUUGGAUGAACGAGUUUGAUGAUUUGAACUAGCAGCAUCUGAAGGUGGAGGAUACAUACUAGCCCUAGAGUAACGGUCUAGACUAGAAUCUGGAGAGUGACAAUUUGGAUCAAUAUAACUUGGAGGCUUUGGAGAGACCUUACUAGCUUCAGACAUAAAUGUCACACUUAGUAAAACCAAAAAUACAAAAAAUGUUGUACAUUUUGUUGUAUCCAUUUUUAGUUCUAAGUUCUCACAUUAAUUUCUUGUGAAUGUCCAAUGUUUAAAUAUUGAAGGAUUGGUUAGCAAAUCACGUACAGACUUCAAUUGUAUGGGAGAGUUAUUUUUGCAUUCAACUAACUACAUGCCCUGGUUCUUGUGUGAGUACAAAGAAAAAACGUACUUCUUUCUGUUUUUACAAAUAUGAAUCUUGUAUGAUUGUCUCAUUCUUAAUCUGUU
This 1484-nucleotide long non-coding RNA is filed under the name Medicago truncatula (barrel medic). Its description in RNAcentral is "long non-coding RNA (MTRU_LNC008008)". The record is from RNAcentral. Lineage: Eukaryota; Viridiplantae; Streptophyta; Magnoliopsida; Fabales; Fabaceae.